Long non-coding RNA from Amphimedon queenslandica, 386 nucleotides. RefSeq lists it as uncharacterized. The transcript has 2 exons. The record is from RefSeq and is a predicted model, not a curated record. NCBI's taxonomy places the organism in Eukaryota, Metazoa, Porifera, Demospongiae, Haplosclerida, Niphatidae.
AUAUUAUAAAAUGAUUUAGUCACUGAUGUACAUUAUACACUUAAUGUUAUAAGUAGGAACUACUGGGUAAUUUCGGAAUCUCUCUCAUUUCUCUUAGAAAAGAUUCUAUGCAACAUUAGUUCAAAUUAUAGUCAGACUCUCCCCUGGUCAGGGGUUGGGUCUCAGUAUCGUUGGUGGGCGUGGCUCUCCCACUGGGGACGUACCCAUUUAUGUAAAGAGGAUCCUACCUGAGUCAGUGUUACAGAAAGACUCAAAGAUAAAGACUGGAGAUGAACUGGUAGCAGUUAAUGAUUUAAUAAUACAUAAUGUAACUAAGGACUAUGCUACUGAAGCUCUUACUAAUGUACAGGGAACAGUGAGACUACUACUGAUACAGGACCUAUGAA